GGAUGCGAUCAUACCAGCACUAAUGCACUGGAUCCCAUCAGAACUCCGAAGUUAAGCGUGCUUGGCGAGAGUAGUACUAGGAUGGGUGACCUCCUGGGAAGUCCUCGUGUUGCAUUCC
Molecule: ribosomal RNA, 118 nt
Filed under: Triticum aestivum (bread wheat)
Lineage: Eukaryota; Viridiplantae; Streptophyta; Magnoliopsida; Poales; Poaceae
Also listed under: 1 other name
Source: RNAcentral